Molecule: non-coding RNA, 118 nt
Organism: Podarcis lilfordi (Lilford's wall lizard)
Lineage: Eukaryota; Metazoa; Chordata; Lepidosauria; Squamata; Lacertidae
Source: the annotation of a GenBank genome assembly
CUUCCAGUAGCACCUUAGAGACCAACUAAGUUUGUUAUUGGUAUGAGCUUUCAUGUGUAUGCGCACGAAAUCUCAUACCAAUAACAAACUUAGUUGGUCUCUAAGGUGCUACUGGAAG